Molecule: long non-coding RNA, 1166 nt
Organism: Corapipo altera (White-ruffed manakin)
Lineage: Eukaryota; Metazoa; Chordata; Aves; Passeriformes; Pipridae
Exons: 2
Source: RefSeq, a predicted model, not a curated record
AUGAGUUUGCCACACAGGAGUACAGUGCUCCCUGCACCACAGAGGAAGUGGACCAGGGCAAUGCAUGAAGAAUACUCCCAGAUGCUGGAACCCACCUGCCUCACUACCACCACCACCCCCUAUGGAGUGACAGAUGAAUAAUGCCUGCAAGGAGUGGGAAAUUAACUUUACAAAUAAAUUAACUGUACUCACCAAUGAUUUUUGAACAAUUUAUUCCCAAUUCUGAUUUUUCCUGCUCAGCUUUCAGUCACAGCUUUAAUCUCCCUGGCUUCUUAAGUUGAAGAGUAUACCAUCCAGGAAUGCCUGUAUGCAGGGUAGUAAGACUGACAAGUGAGGAAGAAAAAAAGAGGACCAAAUGAUUUAAGUUGGGGUCAGCCUUUCUAAUGUAUCUCUAUCUGUGCUAUGUUCUUUGAACUUGUCAUCUGUGAUCCUGUAUAAUCAAUGGAGAAGGACAGGUACUUCUUGGGAACAAUUUCUCUCCCCUGGCUUAGAAACCAUAACCUUGAUAGAAUUGGUCUCUGCUGAUGGCUAUCCAUGUCUCCCACAGGUAGGCAGCCUGGAUGAUCAGCUAAUGUUAAAAGAAAUUCAACCUCUGUGAUCUUACCUGUAGACAGCCCUUUUGGGAUUGUUUCUUGUUUGUAGAAGAGUGGAAAGAGAUAUAGUCUGCCCUCUUCUAAGAUUAGAGUGUAUGGUGGCAGGAGGAAUGUGUGCAUGCAUUAUGCCAUCAGCUGCUAACUUAGCCUGUUCCACAGUUGGAGCUUGGGCCUUCUUGUGGAAACUUCCAUACCUUGUGUCUGCUGCUUCGGGGAGAUUCCGAAGGAGAAGCUAAUGGCAUUUGCCUGUAACCUACCUGCCUAAGUCUAGUCGAAAUGGCACAUUUAUUUAAAUCAUAGAGUUGCUUUGAUGAAACUCUCUAUAGGCCUCUUAUAUAUCUCCAGGAAUGCUCCCCUUUUCUUGGUUUUGUCUCAUUAAUUUGUGGGUUUAACUUUUUAAAUGCCGAAAGAUCUUACAUAACUGUUUAUUCUCAUGAAAUGCUUAUUGUUAGGUAUCAUGGCACACUGUGUAUCCAAAGUAUGUUCCACCUGAUUUCUUUCAGUGAGCCUGUACAAAAAAUGUAAUUGAGAAUAAAUAAAAUUCUUCAUCUAUUUUGCUAGAUAUUAAUAUUA